GCCUGGAUAGCUCAGUUGGUUAGAGUGUGGUGCUGAUAACGCCAAGGUUGCAGGAUUGAUCCCCGUAAGGGACA
Molecule: non-coding RNA, 74 nt
Organism: Podarcis lilfordi (Lilford's wall lizard)
Lineage: Eukaryota; Metazoa; Chordata; Lepidosauria; Squamata; Lacertidae
Source: the annotation of a GenBank genome assembly